This 164-nucleotide ribosomal RNA is filed under the name Anginon fruticosum. RNAcentral describes it as "5.8S ribosomal RNA". It matches the Rfam family "5.8S ribosomal RNA". From Rfam's summary of the family: 5.8S ribosomal RNA (5.8S rRNA) is a component of the large subunit of the eukaryotic ribosome. The record is from RNAcentral. Lineage: Eukaryota; Viridiplantae; Streptophyta; Magnoliopsida; Apiales; Apiaceae.
UAAACGACUCUCGGCAACGGAUAUCUCGGCUCUCGCAUCGAUGAAGAACGUAGCGAAAUGCGAUACUUGGUGUGAAUUGCAGAAUCCCGUGAACCAUCGAGUCUUUGAACGCAAGUUGCGCCCGAAGCCACCAGGCCGAGGGCACGUCUGCCUGGGCGUCACGC